UGUUUUUAUGUGCAUGCAGCAAGUGCCUCGUAUCAUGCACAAACUUGCCACAGCCGAGAGCAUCGAGCAGCAAAGCAAUUUAUGUGUUUAAUGAGAAAUUAAGCGUCAGCACUUCUUAUGCAUGCAAUUUCCACAACUUUUAAAUUGAAAACUGUUUUUACCGGCUGUUCCAAAUCCAUUUGCAUUUAGCCUCGGUCUAACACAAUGCUUUCAAGUUUCGUCCAUUGUGAUAAUCGAAAUGCGUUGAACUUUCAAUUCUAUAAGAUGCUCUUGGGUUGUAGAGCGUACACUUUUGCUUA
Molecule: long non-coding RNA, 299 nt
Organism: Drosophila nasuta
Lineage: Eukaryota; Metazoa; Arthropoda; Insecta; Diptera; Drosophilidae
Exons: 3
Source: RefSeq, a predicted model, not a curated record